This 435-nucleotide ribosomal RNA is filed under the name Flustrellidra hispida. Its description in RNAcentral is "partial 16S ribosomal RNA". It matches the Rfam family "Bacterial large subunit ribosomal RNA", at positions 1832 to 2602 of the family's 2925-position model. Lineage: Eukaryota; Metazoa; Bryozoa; Gymnolaemata; Ctenostomatida; Flustrellidridae. The record is from RNAcentral.
AUUCUUUCGUAGUGAUGAAAGAUGUAGCCUGCCCAGUGAUUUUAAACGGCUUAAAGGUAGCGUACUCAUUUGUCCUUUAAUUGGGGACUAGUAUGAAAGGCUGAACGAUAUAGUUACUGUUUCAUUUGUGUGAAAUAAAAUUGCUUAUACGUGAAAAUGCGUAUAUUCGACGAAAGGACGAGAAGACCCUGUAGAGCUUAAACAAUAUGUUAAAUAAUGUUUUUUAUUGGGGCAAUACCAGUUGGAGAAUCUGGCGUGAAAAUGCUAUAUUGAAAUCCCUUAAAGGAAAUAAGAAAGUUACCUCAGGGAUAACAGCGUAAUUCUUUCAGAGAGAUCUAAUCAAAGAAAGAGAUUGCGACCUCGAUGUUGGACUAAGACAACUCUUAGGUGUAGAAGCCUUUGAAAGUGAGCCUGUUCGGCUUAAAGUCUUACAUG